RNAcentral lists this ribosomal RNA (484 nucleotides) under uncultured bacterium. RNAcentral describes it as "partial 16S ribosomal RNA". It matches the Rfam family "Bacterial small subunit ribosomal RNA", at positions 30 to 507 of the family's 1533-position model. The record is from RNAcentral.
AUUGAACGCUGGCGGCAGGCCUAACACAUGCAAGUCGAGCGGAUGAAGGGAGCUUGCUCCUGGAUUCAGCGGCGGACGGGUGAGUAAUGCCUAGGAAUCUGCCUGGUAGUGGGGGAUAACGUCCGGAAACGGGCGCUAAUACCGCAUACGUCCUGAGGGAGAAAGUGGGGGAUCUUCGGACCUCACGCUAUCAGAUGAGCCUAGGUCGGAUUAGCUAGUUGGUGGGGUAAAGGCCUACCAAGGCGACGAUCCGUAACUGGUCUGAGAGGAUGAUCAGUCACACUGGAACUGAGACACGGUCCAGACUCCUACGGGGGGCAGCAGUGGGGAAUAUUGGACAAAGGGCGAAAGCCUGAUCCAGCCAUGCCGCGUGUGUGGAGAAGGUCUUCGGAUUGUAAAGCACUUUAAGUUGGGAGGAAGGGCAGUAAGUUAAUACCUUGCUGUUUUGACGUUACCAACAGAAUAAGCACCGGCUAACUUCGUG